ACCCUUUUAGAAAUGGCUUUAGCCCUUUUACAUUGUACGUUUCCUUCAUUCUGAAAGAAUUUCAGCAAGAUAAAAAGGCUGCCUCAAACCCUUUGUGGAAGAAAGGCAAUCGAAUGAAUGAAUGAGUUACGCGUGACUUAAUGAAGAAAUCAGAGCUCAGAAAGAUCCAGUUCAUUUGUCCAUUCAGCAGCUGUUGCCUACCUGCACACUUCCGUGAGCUUUCCCAGGCAUGUUCGGUAUACUAGUCCCAAGACACAGGGCUUGUCUUCAAGAUAAUCUGAAGAAUUGAGACCUGGGGAUAGCACCCAAGAAGAGGGAAGAUAUGGGUUGACAACUGAGACAUUUCCUGGAUUGUUCAUAUCAUGUCACAGCUGGACUGAGCCUUAGAAGUUGUGAAAAGGAUUUGAUAUCAUGGAAGUCUGGUUAAAGAUGAGACCGGGCAGUUAACUAUGGCUGCAUAGAUGGUGCCUGUCCAGAAGUCUACAGAGGGAUAGCCAUUCUCCUCAGGAACAUGGGCAAAGACCUUUUGUCUGAUUCUGUUAUUCCAGACACACUGUCGAGAGGACUGGUCACAGGACUCAUGGAAAGGAGGUAAGUCAAGUGUUAAUCUGGGAAAGGACAUGAAAGCAGUGUGAGAAGAGAGAGUUCGGGCCAGAUGUCAGGAUGGCAAUGCCACACUUCCGGGCUCAUGAGCCAGCUCUACAAAGAAGAGGAAAAUUAAUGAAUGGGCUUUGUUGAUGUUCACCCAGGAUUCUUUAGUGACUUUGUACAGCUGAUGCAAUGCGUGCUACUUACCUUGCACACAUGUGACUGAGAGCUAAAGCUGAGAGCUCUGGACUUUCUCGGCUCAAAUCCCAGCUCUGCCACUUUCCGGUUUUGCCACCUUGCCAUUUUAUUCAGUCUCUUUAUGAAUCAGUUUUCCUAUCCAUAUAGUAAGGACAAUAAUGCCUAUUUUUCAUAGCUAUGUGGUGAAAAUUAAAUGGUAAGUUGUGUACUAUAACCAGCAGAUAAGAGAGUCACCCUAAUAUAUCAAUUAUUCGUAUGCAUGGUGGGUGAUCGUUUCAUCUGAUUCAGGCAUUGUGUACACACCCACGUGUGUGUGCUUAAUCUCAUAUUCAUAGAAAGCCACUGGAGUGAUAACACCCUGGUGAUGUGAACCGAUUCCAGUCUCGACAGCUGAGAAAUCCCACCGCUGCUCUUAGCUGUGCAUGACAUCCCUCCUGUGAAGUCUUCCCUUGAGCACAGCAAACACCUGUUCUUGGUGAAAUGCAAAAGGGAACCUUGGUUUAAAGCUCUUGCUUCCCUUUCUUGUAAAGCUUUGUGACCCCUGCUGAAAUAGUUCCCAGCAAGGCCACUUUCAGUUUCUCAGGUUCAGAAGAGAACCAGUGAUCUGAGGUCCCUUAGGGCAAUGGCUCCGUCUUGACUGGUGCCACCAUAUUUGAAACCCUGGGAGCUCAGAGAGAAGCAGAAUCACUUUGAGUUUGUCAUCAAGUUCCAUUCUUCCCACCCAAUGUUGUCAGCAUUUGCUGUGGCUUCUCUCCAGUACCCUGAUGGGUUAAUAUUCUGGAAGCAACAUUUUGGAAGGCCAAGGACAGGUCGGUUCUGAGGAUCGUGCAAAAGAGAAUUGGUCAUUGUACUAAGUUGUUUGAUUCUGGUGGUUCUUUCAUCUCAGUUUUUUGAAAUCAACUUCCCCUCCUUAACCAAGUUCUGCCCCAGCCACUUAGUGGGUCAAAAAACUGUGGAUGCUGAUGGAAAUCACAGAUGUGACCAAACAUCCCCAGCAGCAGUCCGGUCAGAGGUCAUUUGGCUCCUUUCCAGUAACAGGUGGCAUGCAGUCAUCAGAGAGGCUUCUACUUUUCGAGACAAUUUGAAUCAAGAGACAUUCACAGUAAAACUUGGUCACUUUGCAUUUCAUUUUCUGUAAAAACCAACUACAACCUAUUUGACAGCUGUUCUUUUGAAAUAAGCUUGUAGCGGUGGGUGUCAUAGUCAUCAGAAACAAAGCUUCUACUCUUUCAAUAGUGUGCGUUGCUAUUCUAACUGUAAAUGUAACUGAAAUUACAUUGCAGUCUUUCACAUGAUAGAUAUACCCACCCCCCCACUGCCUUUCACACACGUGGAACUAUGUAGGUAGUCAGAGAGGGAAGUAUAAAGAAUA
This is a long non-coding RNA of Canis lupus familiaris (dog), 2158 nucleotides long. RefSeq lists it as uncharacterized. NCBI's taxonomy places the organism in Eukaryota, Metazoa, Chordata, Mammalia, Carnivora, Canidae. The record is from RefSeq and is a predicted model, not a curated record. The transcript has 4 exons.